AGGCCGGGGCCGAGCGCUCCAGGCUGUGCAGCGGAGGCCCAGGCCCAGGGGAGAAGACAGGAUGGGGGAGGGGGCUGGGGGAGAGGAAGAGGGGAUUUCCGGGAGGGGGAGGGGUAGAAGCCGCCAAGAGGGGCAGAAGGGAGGGAAACCAGCCUGACAGCCCCCUCCCCCGAUCCUCCCUCGAGGCAGGCAGGGUGGGUCAGCUGAAGAGGGGGGGAGGCUCAGCUGGCCUCAUCUGGAAACCAGAGGGCCGGGGAGGGCACGGAAGAAGACAAUGGGGCUGUGUGUCGGUAGGAGAGCGUGUGUACACGGACGGGAGGAGGGAGGAGGGGAGGGAAGAGGAGGAGGGGGCCCGCACCGAGGCUCGAGCAGGAGCAUAUGUGAGGGCAGGACCGGUCCAGGCUGCGGGGAACACAGCAAAACAAAGGGGCCUGCGAAGAUCGCAGGGCUAGGGGCCGCGGAGGACGGAGGCAGGGGACCUUUCAGGCACGAGCCCCGGAGGUGCUCUCGCAGCCUGGGCCCCGCGAACCCUCAGCACACAGCCUCCUGACACACGGCAGCGGCUAGCCCACCUUCCCCGCGGCUCUCGGCGGACGACCCCAAGAUCCGGGGCUCCCUCUUCCGGCCUCCCCACGCCCCGGACAGUGCAGUUCCCAGCGAGGGCUGGAGACUCAGGACAGCUCAGGGCGACCAGAAAUCGAUGGAGCCCUAAGAGCCGAGGGACGGAUAAACAGGGGCGGGAAACGGCGGGGUGCGGGCCCCUCCCUAACGAUCUAGACCAUCCGCGGUAUCCAAGACCCCCAGAGGCGGGGAGGGGCACCCAACAACGGACUCCUGCUUCACUGAAGAUCGGGGCGUCACAGUCCUCCCCGUAUCGUUCGAGCACAAACCGCCCGCGCUGACACCCCCACCCCGCCGUUAGAUAGUUGUGCGCCUGUAGGUAGGUGCGCGACCCGUGGGCAAGUCGCAGUCUUUCUUUGAAUCUGUGAAAUGGGAGAACAAUAGCAAUGUUCCUUCUGGGAACAUUGGAAAGAAGAGAAGGGCUUAGAUGGGUGAAAACUCCGGAGGCUUAAGGCGCCGCGCGGGACAGAGGGUUUUGUCCUCCUCUUCCCAGAAGGAUUCAAAGUUCAAGGCCGAGGCCGCUCUGGCUCGCAGGGCUCGGGAGGUCGGAAGGAGCUCGGACGCUGGAUGGGGCGGAGGGCCUCGGGGGACCGGCCGGGCCGCGCCGCAAAGAUUCGCUUCUCCGGAGUCAACAGCUCGGUCUCGGGGGCCACGUGUCGCUCAGGGGCCCGCGGCUCCAGCCUCCAGCCCUGUAGGAGCUCGCCAGGCUCCUCUGUCC
Molecule: long non-coding RNA, 1339 nt
Organism: Odocoileus virginianus texanus
Lineage: Eukaryota; Metazoa; Chordata; Mammalia; Artiodactyla; Cervidae
Source: RefSeq, a predicted model, not a curated record